UUUCAGUAAAUUUAGUUUGACGACGACAACAGUACUCGAGCCACCAUGAAAUGAAUAUCGGGGAAAAUAUUUCGUUUCUGUAGGCGAAUAUUCGUGUGUAGUUUUUCCCUAUCUGUGAUUUUAUUAACGUGUUCGAGAUCAUUCCAACUUCGUAAUUUUAUACGUAUAUUAUUUGUGAAAUCGGUACGUCAAAAUUUAAAAAAAAAAAAGAGUGCUUUAUACAGUGGAGUUUUGUGGUUUUUUUUCUCGUUUCAAUUAUAAUGAUAGACCAUAAUGGCCGGAGAUGUUUGCCGGAAAAGCGAAUCAGAGAUCAUCAAACGUUCGAGUCAUGCAAAUCUUCCACGAAUUAAAAGCGCAAUUCCCCAUCAUUCCCGAUCACAUAAUUACCUCUUGCAUCGCUUCUUAUGUAAUCAGCGAAGAGUCUUCACUGUCCUCUAGGAAUCUUCACGACCUAGUGUUGGCCGCCGUAGCCAAAGACCAAAACUGUCCGAUGGGACGUCCAUCUUUACAGCUAGAAGCACCCCCCUCCAUCCCAAUAACCCCUGUAUCCGAAACGGCUGUGCUUACCGAGUCCAAGAACCAUCGGCUCGAACCACCUACACGAAUUGACGCGAUGAACGAAAGUGCCUUAGUGAACUCCACCAAUUUAAAAAGUGAUAACAACAACACCAGUAACUUACAACCGAAAAGACCGAACUCUUUAAAUUUACGUCCGGACGAGCGACGAUUGCAACUAUCGGAAAAGUGUCGUGACGUUUUCAAACUGUUAAACUCCCAAGUGACCUCAGAAAAACCGCCUAGAUCCCCUCUAAGUGCCAAACGGUUCGCCGCCAAACAAGUUCCCAAAAACGAAUCGCCUAAAAAGGAAACCGUCUCCACUCCAACCCAAACGACUGACACCCUAGUAAAUAACAUCACCAGUCCGGCCAGCCUAAAUCUAUCAUUAAACGUUAAUUGUCAAAUGGGACUGGUGCAGAGCCCUACCAAACCCCGAUGUACCGCCAGAGUUGACGUAACCCCAACCCAACCGUGGCUCAGUCCAGUUUCCUCCAGCAGUUCGGGGAAUUCCCCGCGAAGUUUCACCAGUGUUAACUUGACUUUGCGACCGCCCACCUCCACCCCGCAAGACCCUAUUGAUAUAACCUCACAAAAUUCUAGUCUGACUUACUCGACGAGCAGUUUCGAUAAGGAAAAGGGUCUACAGAGUAGACUUCAAAUCACAGUGGGACCGGGUAAUUCGGGUAGUGUCAGUUCGGUGCGGGCGAGACCGAGAAGUUUCCAUUUGGGGGAUAGUGGUGCAGUAGAAAGUGAGAUGGUGUCUGAAAAGAAGGCCAGUUCGAUGGGUGAUCUUGCAGUUGUGAAAUCGGAAGUUAGUACUCCUGUCCUCCUAAAACAACAAGCUCGGAUAGAGAAUAUGAGGAUAGAAUUGAGGACUGGCAAUACUAGGCUGGUGGUCCUGAGACAGGAGGUCGAAGAACUUGAGAGAAAGAGACUACAAAAGAUCGCAACACGAAAGACAGAAGAAGAAAUCGAGAAACAGUUGCGAAUGGAAAUCAAACACCUCAACUCCCAGUGUAAACUUCUAGAAGGCCCAGGGGAGUUUUAUAACAACAUAUACACCGGGCCGCCCCUUUGGCCCGAACACCGACCCCACCGGGUGGCACCAGCACCGCCCCCGGCCGCCUCCCACCAACUUCCGUCGAUGAUGCGUCGCUCGGGGAUUCCCGAACGUGGCGUGCCGUUCCGGAGACCGUGGAACUGUUCGAAAUGCACAUUCCUUAACCAUCCGGCUCUGGACAAAUGUGAACAGUGCGAAAUGCCGCAAAUCUUCCACGGUACGGGUGCGAAUACGAUUGACGGAGUGUUACCUAACCCGACUAAUAUCGACGUCUCCUUUGACAUUUUUAAGAAGUCCGCUAACGUGUUGAAGAAGAGCGUGAGUGCUGAUCCUCAAAGUAUGCGCGUUUUUAGGGACGGCGGAUCAGCGCUCAGUCCCUCUGAAAUGCUUAGGAGGCUUAAGCUUGAUAUUAACCAUAAUAAUAAUAAUGAAACUGAUAAAGGUCAAAUUCCUCUGGUUUCUAGUUCGUCGGCGCCGAAUGUUUUACAGUUUUCUGUUAAUGAUCAGAGUGGGGUUUAGAAGUGAGAGGGUUUAAUAAAAGUGAUCUCGGUAUUAUUAUUAGGCUGCGAGAAUAGGUUGGAAUUGACUUUAGCAGUUUAGCUUUUUUUUAGGCUACAAUAGCUUCACCUUAAGUAAGUUUAGGCUCAAUUUUUAAGUUACGGUCGUUUUGUCAGAUAAUCUUUGUAUUAAUUAAAAAGGAAAUAUGGCGCGUCCAAAAAACUAUUUUAUCACGAAAAAAAAAAUUAAAUGGCUUGCGAGGCACCAUACUAUUAGACGUCAAGAUGAUACAAAGGAGUUUGAACAUUGAACGAAUGUUCACAUCAAACUAAAAAGUAUUCUUGGAAUGUAAGGAAUGAUCUAUUUAUUGUACGAAGAAUAUUCCUAAAUACUAAAUGUCAAUUGCCUCCUGUUCUACCACUGGCAGGUUUCUAGGUUAAGAUUUGGUUUAGAAUCGGAGAUCGUUUUAAUGAGGACGUUUUUACUCAUCCUCAGAAAGUUCUCUAUAUUGUGAUGUAAACCUCAAGAAAAUGUUUCAAGUGUUUCCUAUAUGCGAUGCUACAAUAUACAUUUCAACAUUUCUUGGACUUUGUUGACAAAAUUGCGAGAAACUAUAAAAGUUUUUGAGGUAGAAGGAACGCGUUUAUGUAAAAUUGAUGCAGUAACUUUGACUGAAACUCUUGAAAAAAUAAUAAAUAUUUUUACGAAAAUUGUGAGGAUUUGCACCAAAAAAACUCUGAAGUUGUCAAAAUAAGAGUUUGUGAAUAAGUACGACCAAGUUUUUACCCUCAGGAAUCACUCUCUAUUUUAAUGUAAAAAUUUAAGAACAUAUUUAAAGUGAUUCCUAAAUUAUGCGGUAAAAUGUCGAUGUUAGAUAAAACGUAGCAACAUUUUGUAGCUCUUGGACCUUGUUGACAAAAUUGCCUGUAACUCUAAAAGUGUCUGAGGUACAAUGAACGUUCUUAUGUAAAAUUAAUGAGGAUAAUGUACUGUUUCUUUGAUUAAAACACAAACAACAAAACUUGUGAGGAUUUGCUAAGAAAAUCAUCCAAAAAAAAUUAUAUCGGAAAUUGUCAAAUAUGAAAUUACUUCUACGCCAUUGAUUUUUGACAUUCUAUUGACUGAGGUAGUACAGGAAUUAUAUUUUAGGCAGUUUCGUAGUUUAACUAUAAAAAAUUAUUAGACUCAACUGCCUAGAAGAAUUAAUUCAGUUAAUAAUGCUAUUUAAGGCAGUUUAGGCAUGGUUUUUUUUUGUUUUUAAUUUUCAAGCACUUCAAUUUAGUUAUAUGACUCAAUUGCCUAGAAUAAUAAUUAAUUAAAAAAAUAGAAGCCCUAAUAACUUCUACGCCAUUGAUUUGUGUGAAUUAUUUUACAAUUCCCGGCAGCACUAGUAACUUAUUUGACAAGACUCGAUCCGAUGUUGCCAGACUGUAAAUCUACCGAAUCAUCCAAAAAUGACGUCAUUCUAUUUUAGGCAAUUAAGCCUAUGAUAUUUUACUUUUCUUAUCGGGUACUUUAGUGCAGGUUUAUUAUUAUUCAACUGCCUAGAAUAUUUAAUUGAAAAAUGGAAGAACUUCUACGUGUCAAUUAUUUUACAAUUCCAGGCAGUACAGGCAUGAUUUUUCUUUUUAAUUUAAGGCAGUACAAUAUUUUAAAUAUAAAAAUGAUUAGGCUUAAUUGCCUGGAAUAAUUAAUUGAAAAAUAGAAGCCCUAAUAACUUCUACGCCAUUGAUUUGUGUCAAUUAUUUUACAAUUUCUGGCAGCACUAGUAACUUAUUUGACAAGACUCGAUCCGAUGUUGCCAGACUGUAAAUCUGCCGAAUCAUCCAAAAAUGACGUCAUUCUAUUUUAGGCAAUUAAGCCUAUGAUAUUUUACUUUUCUUAUCGGGUACUUUAGUGCAGGUUUAUUAUUAUGCAGUUAUUUAUUUAAUUGAAAAAUUGAAGAACUUCUAUGUGUCAAUUAUUUUACGAUUCCAGGCAGUACAGGCAUGAUUUUUCUUUUUAAUUUUAGGCAGUACAAUAUUUUAAAUAUAAAAAUUAUUAGGCUUAAUUGUUUGGACUAAUUAAUUCUAAAAUAGAAGCCCUAAUAACUUCUACGCCAUUGAUUUGUGUGAAUUAUUUUACAAUUUCCGGCAGCACUAGUAACUUAUUUGACAAGACUCGAUCCGAUGUUGCCAGACUGUAAAUCUGCCGAAUCAUCCAAAAAUUACGUCAUUGUAUUUUAGGCAGUUAAGCCUAAGAUGUUUUACUUUAGUGCAGGUUUAUAUACUGCCUAGAAUAUUUAAUUGAAAAAUGGAAGAACUUCUACGUGUCAAUUAUUUUACAAUUCCAGGCAGUACAGGCAUGAUUUUUCUUUUUAAUUUUAGGCAGUACGAUAUUUUAAAUAUAAAAAUUAUUAGCCUUAAUUGCCUGGAAUAAUUAAUUGAAAAAUAGAAGCCCUAAUAACUUCUACGCCAUUGAUUUGUGUGAAUUAUUUUACAAUUUCCGGCAGCACUAGUAACUUAUUUCACAAGACUCGAUCUGAUGUUGCCAGACUGUAAAUUCUAUGACAUUCGAAAAUCAUAUAGUUUAGGUGAUCAUUUGAAAAAAAUGGAAGGGUUGGGUGUAAAAAAUAGGCCGUCACAAUACAUUCAGGAGAAGAGAGGGCUUUUUUGAUUCAAAUAAAUGUGACUGAGUUUAUAGUGGAUGAUCCUUAAGCCUAACAGAGGCAUAACUAAAGUUUUUAUAUUUUUUUCCUUAUCGUUCCCCUGGAAAUGAACAAUAACCUGAUUAACUGCCUGGAAUUAGUAAAAUAUUUCAAUCUCUUUCAGGCAAUCAGGAAAGCCUGAUAAAAAUUAAUUCCUAUGCUUGUGAAAAAAAGAAUUGUUUUUUGGGAUAUUUAACUGCCUGGAAACCUAUAUAAUUUCCAUCUCUUCCACGCAAUUAAAAUAGAAAAAGACCUAAAGAUCAGAAAAGGUUUGAAAAAAUUGGUUUUGUGAGAAAUUUUUGAGAGGAUCAGAAAAGUGAGUCCAUAAAAACCCUCUUAUAUAGUAAUAAAAAAUGGAUUUUAAAAUGCCUGGAAGCAGUAUAUAUCUCUUUGUAUCUGAGUUAAUUGAAAACAUAAAAGAGAACUAUCCCUAAUCAACUAAAAUCAUUUUAUUAAAGGGAAAGCUUGAGAGCAAAAAGCUAAAUAAAACUUUUCAUUACAUAUUUUUUUAUAAUAAUAUUUAAAUUAGAAUUAUUUUCUAAUUUCAGGAAGUACAGGCAUAAUUUUCUAAUAUUUUAGGGAGCUGUCGAUUUCAUUUCUGAAUUUUAGGCAGUUCCAUAUUUCAAUUAUUAAAUGUUAUUAGGCUCAACUGCCUGGAAUAAUUAAUUGAAUCAAUAACGACAUUUUAAUUAACCCUUUACUGCAUGAAUUUUUUGUUUUCUUCGAAAAAAUUCCCAGGGAUGGAGGAAUACGCUUUAUUUAUGUAAAAAAUACCAAAAAAAUGGAAAGUGACAUAUAUGGAACAUUAUGCAACAACAUUAUCAUUUAUUCAGUGUGGAACCUCAAAAAACAAUUUCGGUCUUUAUUAAAACACAAGAAAACUUUACAUUUCGUACAAGACACAAAAGAUUUAUAUUCACACAAUGGAAACUUGCAUCCUGAUCUUUGUUGUUCACUCCAUUCUGGUAAAUGGUCAAUACCAUCAAGACGCACCUCUUGUUGAGGAAUUUCUUUGGUAGGUCCACGCUUCUUUUUUAUAGCAUAUAAUGUCUGAACCUCUGCUGAAGGUCUUCCUAAUAUUCUUUUAUAUUCUUUAUUAGCAUUGCAUAAAGAAUCAGCGAUGGCCAGCUUGAAGUCCUUAAGGGGUAGGUCAAAUUCUUUAUUGCUGCGUCUCCACAAGCAUUUACGCAACACAAAUCCAACAUGUGAAAAAAUAUGUGUAAAUACCAUUUCUUUGAUCGAAUUUUAAUCCUAUAAAAUCCCAAUAUGGCAUCCAGAAGGUCGAGGCCUCCCAUAUAAUUAUUGUAAACAAAAACACUUCUAGGGCAUUCAAUCAUUUUAUGAGUGUUUUCUUUUUUGAAAAAUCUUUUUUUCUCACCACGAGGUUCAGAACCAACAUAGGUAGAGAGGGUGGUCACGACUUUAUUAUCAUACCAUGACACUGUUGCAAUAUCCACAUUAUCUAUGCGAGAUAUUUUUUCUUUUAUUGUGCCGCGACCAGUUUUCUUCAUAUCUUUUUCAGAUGGUAAUGUACAUGGUAUACGAUUGGCUCUCACUGUCCCUAAAGGCAAUAGCCCUUCUUUAUGUAAGGAAAUCAUCAAAGGUAUGCUAGUAAACCAAUUGUCAAAAAAUAGUUUAUAGUUGUUAUUCCUUGGAACACUCUCGGAUAAUCUUAUUACAACAUUACUACUCAUUCCUAAAUUGGGGCGCCCGUUAGGAACUAGGUUGCUUUGGGAUCCUGCAAAAAGGUCGAAAUCGUAGCUGAACCCGAAUGAAAUUCCGCUUCUUAUAACCCCACUUGUGAGGUUUCUUAGGGUUAUAUUGCUUUAGUUGACUUCUAGCUUUGGUAGGAAUGAUUUGCUCGUCUAUAGCAAGGUGUUCCUCACGUGGUACCAAUAGUAGUCUUUCUCUUAUUUGGGUAAAAAAAGGUCUAAUUUUGAAUAACUUAUCGUGACCUGGUUGACCUCUUUGGAUCAUUUGACUAUUGUCAUUGAAAUGAAUAAAGCGUUUUAUCGUCUCGAAUCUAUUGCAGCAAAUAACCUCAGAAACAGC
RNAcentral lists this unclassified non-coding RNA (6854 nucleotides) under Anthonomus grandis grandis. RNAcentral's name for it is "tGF-beta-activated kinase 1 and MAP3K7-binding protein 2". Lineage: Eukaryota; Metazoa; Arthropoda; Insecta; Coleoptera; Curculionidae. The record is from RNAcentral.